CCUUUUUUUAAUUUAUUUCAAGCGCCACCCGAGCACGUAAUCCGGGCGACGUGCAAAAAGCAGCUCUGGAAAAUUGAACCGCACGUGUGAACGCGGGGGAAGGGCCGGGAGGGCGAGGGGGUGCAGGACGCGGCGAGUGCCCCCCCCCCCCGGGAAGGAGGCCCUGCGGGUGGGGGGCACCAGUCCAGGGUGGCAGCAGGGGGGACGGAGGCCCCGCUCUGGAGCGGGCGGGCGGUGGGGGAAGCAGACCCGGAGCGGGAGGCUGGUUGGGGCAGCAGGGCCCCGCUGCCUCCCCUCCUCGGGCUCCGCAGGGCGGGCGAGGGUCCUGCCCCUGGGCCGGGAGGUAGAGCCCAAACCCCUAACGGCGGUGACGGGAGAGCAGAGGUACCAAAACUUGAAUUUUUUGCGGCCAGGGAAUGGCACGCCUGGGAGCGAAGGUACCGGGGCGCGCGGAGGUGCCUACCUGGCGCUGGGCACGACCGCCUGCGGUCCGCCACGCUGCCCCUCGUCCCUGCUCCCGCGGUCGAGGCCCCUCAGGAGCUCGGCCGAGCCGUGGAGACGUGCCGGGUGGCGGCUGGAUGCGCUGCGGGCGGCUCCAGGACGGCUCGGAAAGGGCUGGAGGGAGGCCGGGCCCUGGGCGGCCRUGCAGAGCCCCUCCGGCCUUCCCGGCCUCGGAGCUUCGGCAGAGCUCCAGCGCAAGCCCUCCGGAAAAAGGAGGUUGGCGCAGGCAUYUCCCCAAAACGAGGUGACAUCCACUGCUGCAAGGGCUCCGUCUUCUCCCUGGGUCGUGACGUUUUGGAAGAAUUUGGAAGAAGGAAUUUCUUCACAGGCCCUGCCGCACAGAGCGAAGGUACAGUAAUAUGGGUGAUAYCGCAUGGGAGGUACAGAGUUGUCAGUG
Dromaius novaehollandiae (emu) is the source of this 898-nucleotide long non-coding RNA. The record is from Ensembl. NCBI's taxonomy places the organism in Eukaryota, Metazoa, Chordata, Aves, Casuariiformes, Dromaiidae.